CACUAAUCAAUACACAUAAAAGUAAAUGAACUGUACAUGAACUAAAAAGUGUCUGGAGUUUCCAAAGUAGGAGAACUCAUCACCUGCUGGCUGGAAUCUGCAACUGUCUGAUCGUGAUGUGUAGGCUAUAACUGGUACCUAUAUUAUGAGGAAAUGUAGCCACACAGGCGUAUAUGCGGAUCAGUACUUUUGAAAUGUACUGAGUAUGCAAGGGUGAAUACAAUAAGUAAAACUAAUUUCAUACAUAUUCGUAAAACAUACAUUCUAAGUGUAAGUAGACUCACCAAUAAGCAGGAAUAAACUAAAAAAUGAAAACAUCUUAAAACAUGAGUAAUAAACAUGAUCUGAUAAUAUGGUGAAUCUUUACACUUAGUUUCUGUAAAACUUACUUUAAUGAUAUAAGUAUAAUUAAAGCUGGGAUAUGAUAACACAUAGAUACUGUAUGAAUACUGGGUAUGUAAAACUGGACUGUACUUAGUCCAAAUAACUAGACAAAAAUUAUAGAGUAUUAUGCAUAUGAGAAAGGGACUGACUGAGUAACAUGAGAUAACUGAGCAUGAAUUCUCGAAAAUUGUAUUAUUUAUGAAUACAAAAUCAAGCAUAUAACAUAUUCAAAAAUAGUCUGUAAACUGAGGUACUGAAAUACUGAUAACUGGAUAAUUGAUAAAAGUAUGCUAUGGUCAAGCAAACCUGAAACUGAACUGAGUUACUGAACUGAGUUACUGAUCUGAUUACUAGACUGAGACUGUGAUCGAGACUAUAACUAAGAUUGUAACUAAGACUCAUACUGGAACUAAAUACUGAGUUCUGAUAACUAAGUGACUAAUAUCUGGGAUUACUAAUAACUUUAUUACUGAUAACUGGGUUAUUGAUGACUGAUAUAUUAUUAACUGAGUGACUGUUUCUGAUAGUCUUAAUCUUAUGGAACUAGCUAAGUUCCGUACUGAGCUGAGUGACUGUAUCUGACAGUCCUGAUCUUGUGGAACUAGUUAAGUUUCGUACUAAGCUGAGUGACUGUAUCUGAUAGUCCUGAAUCUAUAGAACUGACUGAGUUCUAUUCUAAGACUGAAUCUAAAACUGGAACUGUGGGAGUUAAUCAUCUAACCGACAUACCCCUAUUUGAAAAAUUUUAGGUUCAACCUAUAACCCCAGUUGUAAGGGUAUCAGUACCAUGCCAUGGGUAAAGACACUGAAAAGGUACCCUCAUCUGGUAGUUACGCUAAUGAAAAUGGCGGUACCCUUAUCUGACAGGUUAAAACACCUCAUCAAUCCUCAUCUGGUAGGUUUGAUGUCUCAACCUACGCUUGCUACAUAAUUCUGGAAUGCAAAGAUUGCUUCUAAGGAUCAUACCCUCUACUGACAGGUGAGUUCCCAUCCUUGGGUUCACUCGGUGCUGAAUCCUACUCCUAUCUAAAUAGACACUAAACUAAUUUCCUAGUUCGUGCUAGGCUUAACAGAACUAUUACUAUUUGUACUUUUUAACUAAACUGAAUUGGGUUCACUGAGUUCCGUUGACUGAUGAAAAUACUACUAAAUUCUAUUAACUAACUAAAUACUAUAGAGUUCUGAACUGAAACUGAAUACUACUGAGGUCUAAACUAAAUACUGAAUACGACUAAGGUCUGAACUGAAUACUGAAUACUACUGAGGUCUGAACUAAUUACUGAAUAUGACUGAGGCUUGAACUGAAUACUGAACUGAACUAGACUGAUACUUGGAUUACUGAGAUUUUCCUGAGGUCUAUAACUGACUGACAGUACUACUGAUCAUGACGUAACUGAUAUUGUUUUGUAACUGACACUGGCGCUAGGUAAACAGCUAAUUGUUGGGUAUUAAAUACCCCCAGGAGUCGAUAGCAUGAAAGUAAAGCAUGGCAUGAUCAUAAUAGCAUAACAAUAGUCAAUUGUCAACAAUGCUUUCAUUUAGACAUUUUGUCAAACACUUGGAGGCUAUGGAAUUGUACAUAGAUGAGAACACAUGGUAACAUGUCAUGAUUACCCUACUCAAUUCACAUAGGCAUUCUAUCAAGCACAUGGAGAUUAAUACUUGGACAUGGGAAUAUCUUAAAAAUAUGGGAGCAUAGCAUGGUUUCAUAAGCAACAUUGUGAAUUGGGGAAAUUACAUGAAUUCACUUGAAAUAGGACAUGGGCAUUUUAUCACAACAUGUAAGGAUCAAGAAUGUGGAAAAUGUGAACUUAAAAUAAGGAAUUAUUUCUAAUUAUCUUGAAUAUAGGCCACCAUGGAAUCAAAAUAAAACUCUAAGGACAUGAUAUGUGAGACUUUGUUCAAAAUCAUUCUUAUAGGUAUUUCAUCAAACACUUGUAAUUCAUGGUUUAGGCUAAGAAUAGGAGUAGUUAAAAAUAGUAGUAAUAGCAUGAUUUCACCUCUAAAAUCAUCGAUUAGAGUUUAAAUUUGACAAACAAUACCAUUCAAACAUGUGAGGUUUAAUAUCACCCACAAUUUCAUGGAAACAUGAUAUAAGUUUGAGAUUCAUGAAAAUUUAUAAACAAAACUCAUGGGAACAUGCAAAGAUUAUAACUUUAAACUUGAAAUUUAAGUUUUGGGCUCCAUGGGUGAAAGAGGACCCAUGGAUGAACUCCCACAUACCUUAAAGCUUUAAUCUUGAAGGAGAAACACAAUCUUGAAAGAAUUCUUGAAUUAGGAAACUUGAUUCUUGAUUCUUUUCUUAAAGAAAAUUUCAUGGAGCUCUUGGUGUUCUUGAGGAGGCUAGGGUUUUGUUGGAGAGAAAAAAGAUGAUUAAUAAUGUAUCUAAUGUUUUGGGGGCUGAAAUUAUGUGUUAGGAUCAUAUUUGGGUGAGGAGAAUUGACCAAAGUAUCCCUAGACCUUUUAGGAAUUGAAUAAACAUGUAAAACAGCUUUGGAUCCGCUUCAGUUUUUUGUGUCGGGGCGCAGUCGACGCAACUUAUCGAGAUCGCAUCGGCUUAUUGCCUCACACAAAAAAUGCCAUAACUUUUUACUCGGGUAUCGAAUUUUGGCAAAAUUGGUAUCAUUGAAAAUCUAAUUCAAUUAUCUAUAAUUUGGUGGGUCUUGAGAUAUAAAAUUCCAUGUAUAUAAAAAAUUUUACACAUUUAAAUUAGACCCUUGUAGAAUCAAAUAUUAAAUUUUGGACGAAUCAAAUGAUCUUAGCUCAACUUGGCUCUAAGUGAUUCCUAUGAACAUUUUUAACCUCAAAAGCAAAUCAAACAUGAGGAUAAAGAUUUUAAAACUUAUAUUCAUAUGGGAAUCACUUGUAUUAUAGCUUAUACACAUAAGAAUGAUGGUUCAUAGACUAGCCCAAAAAUGUGGGGUAUUAAACUAGUACAGGAUAGAAAUCAAUUCAGUGUCUAUUCAGUUGGGAGUAGGAUUCAACACCAAGUUAACCCAAGGAUUGGGGAAGUCUUGUCAUUAAAGGGCUUGACCCCUAGAAGCAAUCCCUGAAUUAUAGAACUAUGUAGCCAGCGUAGGUUCAGGUAUCUUCCUACCAGACAUUAUGAGGGUUGAUACUUCUCACCCAAGUUAUCCUGCCUGCGAGGGUUGAUGAAAGAUCUUCCUAUCAGAGAGGGUUAACUCAUAGCUUGUCCUUACCCGUGGCACAGUAUUGAUACUCUUUCAACUGGGGUUACAGGUUGGACCCCAAUCAAUUUAGAGAGAGGCAUGUUGGUUAGAUGAUUACCUCUCACAUUCUCAAUUUCCAACUCAGUCUCAGAAUAGAACUCAGUUUAGUUCUACAGAUUCAAGACUACCAGAUGUAGUUACCCAAUUCAGUUUAGUGUAGAACUCAGUAUAGUUCCACAGAAUUUAAGACUGUCAAAUACAGUCAUUUUAGUUACCAGUAAUAUAGUAUCAGUAAACUCAAUUAAUCAGUAAUCAGUAUACGUAUUCAUGCAUGUACUCUUAUUCAGUCAUACUCAUGUUAUCCAUUUAGUAUUAUUCAUGCAUAUGAACCCAUAUAUUUUAGUCUACCUCACUAAACAUACUAGUACAUUCAAAGUACUAACACAUGUUUUUUGCACUAUGAUGUCUUAUAUCAUAGGUUCCAAUACACAAGCUCUAGGGCACCUUUAGUAGACCAGAUUUUCAGCAUUCAGCAUAGUGUGAGUCCUCAUAGUUCAAGGACUUGGUUACUAUUUAUAGUAUUUUAGUUUAUGCGAGUAGAUGGAGUUAGUUGAGUACUUGUUCCAUCAACUCCACAGUUCAGACAGUGAGAGGCUUCUUAGACUAGAGUAUUUCAAACAGUUAUUCAGAUUUCAGUUUUGUCUUUAAUUUUUUUGGUAUUUGCGAUACCUCUUUCAGUAUUAUCAGUAUUAUUUACAGAUUGAACCUUAUGGAAAGUUUUUGCCAAUUUUUGUAUAUAUAUAUAUAUAUAUAUAUUACUGUGUUAUUGUAGCAGGUAUCAGUCAUAGGUUAGCUUAUGGUCCCUCGGGAUUAUGAGCACCAUAUAGCGUUCAGGGUACAGACUCGGGGUAUUACAAACUUAGUACCAGAAUCUAAGGUUCAAUAGAGUCCUCGGAAGUCUGGAAGCCACUUAUAGUAGAGUCUUGUACAUGGGUGUGUUGCACGCUACACUUAUGGAUAGGAGACUUCCCUUCUUUCAGUAUUCAUGUCAUGCGAGUGAGCAUGAGCUCCAGUUAUACUCUUUUUCUAAUCCAAGUUUCUCUUCUAUUUAUAGAAUAUACCUUCAAAGAGGACUCAGGGAAGAGAAAUGGGAGAUCAGUCAGCCCCUUAGCCCAUAUAUCUAGAUCCUUUGCGUGAUCAUAUCUCCCGUGCGGAGUUCAAAGAAGCCUUCACCACCCAAGCCCAUUCUUUGGUAGCCCAGAAUAAACUCUCAACUAUGGUUCCAGCCAACCCAGCGGCCAAUAAUAUUGCUACCAAGAUUUGGGACUUUACCUAAAUGCACCCUCCAUAUUUCACAGGGUCUAAGUCAGAUGAGAACUCUUAGGAAUUUCUUAACCAAGUGCAGAAAGUUACCGACAUUAUAGGGGUGACUGUUGUUGUGAGCACUGAGUUAGCCGUAUAUCAGUUAUAGGAUAUGGCUCACUCAUGGUGUAAAUAGUGAAAGGCAGAAAGGGCCACAGAUACAAGGCCCAUAGAAUGGGAAGAGUUUGCAAUUGCUUUUCUGGAUAGGUUUUUUCUGCUAGAGUUGAGGGAAGCAAAUAUUUUGGAGUUUAUUAACUUGAAGUGGUGCAAUAUAACAGUGUAGAAGUAUUCUCUCAAGUUUACUUAGUUAGCCAGAUAUGCCCCGUAUAUUGUAGCAGAUAGCAGAGCGAAGAUUAGUAAGUUUGUGUCGGGAGUGUCUAGCAGUAUGGUCAACGAGUGUAGGACCACAAUGCUUAUUAAGGAUAUGGACAUAGCUAGGAUCAUAGUCCAUUAUAAGUAGAUAGAGAAGGUCAAGAAUAAAAAGAAAGAGAGGGAGAAUAAAAAGCGAGAAUAAGUAGUUUCAAUUUCGCUCAGCUUAAGUUAGAGGGUGGGAAUCAAUCUCAGUUCCACCCAAAAUCCUUAUUUCCAGCUCCAUCUUUAGCCGGUGCUCUAUUGCCAAAAUUUAGAGAUGGAAAUAGGGAUAAGGCGUCAGUCCCUAAGCCCCAGGGCAGUGUAAUAGUGCCCGAACUAACCCCCUUUGCCAGAAAUAUGGCAAAAACCACCAGGGUAUCUAUAGAGCUUGUAGUGAUAUAUGUUUCAAAUAUGGCAAGCUAGGCCACAGGGCCAGACAAUUUCCUUAGGUUGGUUUGUAGAAUCAGUAUAACUGUCUCUCUACUCAGUUCGGUCACCCAAAUCAGCAGGGUGGCUCAUCCAGUGCCACCAGUGGCCAGUGCCCAAACAGACUCUAUUCUUUUUAGUCCUGACAAGAUUAGGAAAGUUCUCUUGAUGUGUUCACUGGGAUGUUACAUGUUUUCCAUUUUUAUAUUUACGCUUUGUUAGAUCCUGGAGCUUCUUUGUCUUUUGUUACUCCAUAUAUAGCAGUUGAUUUUGGAGUCAGUCCCAAAAUUCUAGCAGAUCCUUUCUCAGUUUCUACCCCAGUGGGUAAGUCUAUCAUAGCCCGAUGGGUAUACAGGAACUGUCCGAUUAUGAUAUCUCAGAAAGUCACUUUAACAGACUUAGUCAAAUUAGAGAUGACUGAUUUUGAUGUCAUUCUCAGCAUGUAUUGGCUUUAUUCUUGAUAUGCCUUAGUCAAUUGCAGAAAUAGAAUUGUUCAGUUUUAGCUUUUGAAUGAACCCAUCCUAGAUUGGAGGGGUAGUACUUUAACACUUAGGAGUUAAAUUAUUUCUUACCUUUGGUCUAGAAAGAUGAUAUCUAAGGGAUGUGUCUACCAUCUCGUUCGAGUCCAGGACUCUAGUUCAGAAACCCCUACUCUUGAAUUAGUAUUAGUAGCAUGUGAAUUCCCAAAUAUGUUUCCCGAUGAUCUUUCCAAAGUUUCUCCCAAAAGGGAAAUUGAUUUUGAAAUUGAUUUUCUCAUAGAUACUCAGCCCAGCUCUAUUUCGCCAUAUAGAAUGGCUCCAACAGAACUUGGAGAAUUAAAAAAAGAGUUAAAGAAUGUCCUAGAUAAGGGAUUUAUUAGACUCAGUAUAUCCCUAUGGGGCGCACCAGUGUUAUUCAUGCUUAAGAAAGAUGGUUCUCUUAGAAUAUGUAUAGACUACCAUUGAUUAAAUAAAGUUAUGAUCAAGAAUAAGUAUUCACUUUUCAGAAUCGAUGAAUUGUUUGACCAACUUUAGGGUGCCAGCUAUUUCUCUAAGAUAGACCUUAGAUCAGGCUAUCAUCAGCUCAGAAUCAGGGAAUAUGACAUCCCAAAAAUAGCUUUCAAAACUCGGUAUGGUCACUUCGAAUUCUUAGCCAGGUCCUUUGGUCUUACCAAUGCCCCAGCAGCUUUCAUGGACUUGAUGAACCGUGUGUUCAAGCAGUACUUGGAUAUGUUCGUUAUAGUCUUCAUAAAUGAUAUCCUUGUUUACUCUCGUAGUGAGCAUGAUCACGUAGACCAUCUUAGAAUAGUACUCCAAACUCUUAGAAAUAAUCAGCUAUUCGCCAAAUUCAGUAAGUGUGAAUUUUGGCUAAGGUCAGUAGCAUUCCUUGGACACAUCAUUUCCAAUGAUGGCAUUAGAGUGGAUCCCUAAAUGACCAAAGCAGUGAGAAACUGGCCCAGAACCAUUUCUCCAUCAGAUAUCAAUAGUUUUAUGGGCUUAGCCGGCUAUUACCGAUGGUUUGUUGAGGGAUUUUCAUCUAUAUCAGGGAGUUGGUCAGAUUACACGAUGUUCCGUUGUCUAUUAUCUCAGAUAGAGGUACCCAAUUCAUCUCUUAUUUCUAAAAAGUGUUCCAAAAGGGUCUUGGUACCUAAGUUCAUCUCAGUACAACCUUUCAUCCUCAUAUAGAAGGUCAAGUACAAAGGACCAUUCAAACCCUAGAAGAUAUGCUGUGAGUGUAUGCAAUAGACUUCAAAGGUAGUUGGGAUGACCACUUGCCUUUGAUUAAAUUUUCAUACAACAACAGCUAUCAUUUCAGUAUUUAGAUAGCUCCAUUUGAGGUGCUUUAUAGGAGGAGGUGUAGAUCUCCUAUUGGUUAGUUUGAAGUGGGUGAGGCCGUAGUGGUAGGGCAUGACUUGGUGUUUGAUACCUUAGAGAAGAUCCAGUUGAUCAGGGAAAGCUUAAGACAGCUCAGUGCCAACAGAAAGCAUACUCUGAUGUCCGAACAAAAGAUCUCAAGUUCGAGAUUAGAGCUUUUGUGUUUCUGAAAAUCUCUCCUAUGAAAGGAGUAAAGAGAUUUGACAAAAAAGGAAACUCAGUCCCCGAUAUGUCAGUCCUUACUGAAUUCUCAACCACUUUAGAAAGGUAGCUUACGAGCUUGAGUUAUCUUCAAAUUUAUCACUAGUUCAUCUGGUGUUCCAAGUCUCCUUGCUAAAGAAAUAAAUAAGUGACCCAGUAGUCGUAGUCCCUAUAGAGGGCAUAGAUAUUCAGAACAGCCUCUCUUAUGAAGAGAUCCUAAUCAAAAUCCUUGACUAUCAAAUUCGCAGGAUGAGGAACAAAGAAGUUCGUCUAGUCAAAGUUCUUUGGUGGAAUCAGUCCAUUGAGGGAGCUACUUGGUAACCAGAAGCAGACAUGUGCACCAAUUAUCCUUAUUAAUUCUCUGCUAAUCCAGACUCAGCUAAAGGUAAUAGUUAUUCAGUUUCAUAUUCAGAUAUCAGUUAUAAACUUGGUAUUAGUUACUAUUACAUAUUCAGUUACAUGUUCAUGAGCUAGUUUAGUCAUGUAUCCAUGCAUCAGAUAUGCAUGUUCAGUACAUAGACUUAGCUUAUCAAUAAUCCCAGUCAUGUAUUCAUGAAUCAUUUUUAGCUAUGUACUCAUGCAUCAGAUAUGCACAUUCAUUAUGAUAAUUCAGUGUAUUAGUAAUCUUAAUCAGGAAACCAUGUCUCAGUUGUGCAUGCCCAGUGUCUAAGUUCAAUCUCUCGGUAUUCUCGGUCUCAGCAGUCUCAUUUAAGGAUGAAUGUUCCCAAGGGGGAGAUAAUGUAAGACCCCACAAAAUCCUAAGCUUAAUUUAGUCCUUUAGGAUUGUCAAGGGGUCCCAGACAUAGAAUAUUUUAGCUAAGUACUACGACUUAGUGUCAUUUUAGCCUACAACAUUUGGCAAUCUUAUUUUGUGACCUUUAUGUCCAUUAGAAUUUUGAUGUUUAGGUUGAUUUGUGAUCAGGAAUGUUCGUAGGUAUUUCCGGACAAGUUUUGGAUUUUUUGGACUUCAUUUGAAGCUUCUCUGGAAUUUUAAAUAGUGGAUCAACGCGAUCAUGGCACGCCGCAUCGACUAUCGCAUUGAUUAAUAUUUUUCCCCAGAUACUAGUGUCAAGUUCCAGUGAAUCGAUGUGAACAUGGCACGAUACAUUGGCUAUUGCAUCGAUGCCAUCAACACACUGUGUCGACCUACAUGUCGGUAGCCUAGUUUUCAGUCAUUAAAAGACCAUGUUCUUAGGGGUAUUUGGGUCUUUUCCCCACGUCCUUUAGCCCCCAAACCACAAAAUUAAGCCCUUUGGAGUGCAAAUAUACUCAUUCAUUCUCCAAUUUGAUCAAGAACAAAACCCUAGGUGCUCAAGUUUUAAAUCAAGAACUCAAGAUUCAACCAUAAACUUUCAGAAAUUCUUCAACAAAGGUAUGUGAAGUGUUCAUCCAAGGGUUCCUUCCACCCUUGGAGUCCAAGAAUCCCUUUUGAACUUCAAGUAAUUGAUUUUAUGAUUUUUCGUGGUUGGAAUUGAGUGUAUUCAUGAUUGUUGUUUGAAUUAGGUUCCUAAUUCAUGUUUUAUUACAUGUCUCAUGUGGAAUUUAUUAUCAUGUGUGUAAAUCCAUAUUAAGUCUUUAAAUUGUGAAAGUUGGAAUUUAAUCUUGAUGCCCAAUUGUUGUUCAAAGUUAUGAGCAUAUGUUAUGCUAACUAAGUGCUUGAAGAAUUGUUCAUGUGAACUAUUAAGAAAAUGCAAUUAUGUCAAACUAGCUUAUGUGCAAGCUAUAUCAUGCAAGUGUUUGUCAAAAUGCCUCAAUGAAUAAGUGAUGAUCAAUUUCACAGUUUACAUGUUUCAUGUUUAUGCCAUGUCUCUUAAUUUAUGCUAUCGAGUCCUGGGGGUACUUAUACCCAACAAUUUAGAUACUUGUCUAGAGCCAUGUCAGUCAUAGAACAAUGUCAGCCAUGUCAUGAUCAGUAGUACUCUCAAUCAGUUAUAGAACUCAGGAAAACUCAAUAAAGUCAGUAAUAGUUUAGUCUAACUCAAUAUUCAGUUCAGACCUCAGUAAAAUCAGUCAUCUAAUAGAAUUCAAUAGUAUUCCAUUAGUCUACGAAAUUCAGUGAACUCAGUUCAGUUCAGCUAAAUAGUAAUCUCAGUAACUAUUCAGUCUAGCCUAGUAUAGGCUAGAAAUCAGUUCAGUGUCUAUUCAGUUGGUAGUAGGAUUCAGCNNNNNNNNNNNNNNNNNNNNNNNCUGUCAGCGGAGGGUUUGACCCUAGCAGCAAUCCAUGCAUUAUAGAACUACGUAGCCAGCAUAGGUUGAGGUAUCUUCCUUCCAGACAUUAUGAGGGUUGAUACUUCUCACCUGAGUUAUAUUGCCAGUGAGGGUAGACGGAAGAGCUUCCUAUCAUAGAGGGUUAACUCAUAGCUUGUCCUUACCCAUAGCUCGGUAUUGACACCCUUCCAAUUGGGGUUAUAGGUUGGACACUAAUCAAUUUUGAGAGGGGCAUGUCAGUUAGAUGAUUACCUCCCAUAGUCUCAGUUUUUGACUCAUUCUCAUUAUGAAACUCAAUUCAGUUCUAUAGAUUCAGGACUAUCAGAUAUAGUUACCCCAUUCAGUUCAGUUUGGAACUCAAUAUAGUUCCAUAGAAUUUAGGACUAUCAGAUACAGUCAUUUAGUUACCAGUAAUAAAGUAUCAGUAAACUCAGUUAAUCAAUAAUUAGUAUUCAGACUCAGUAGAUUGAGUGUAGCACCUUUUCAAUUACAGUAUACGUAUUCAUGCAUGUACUCUUAUUCAGUCGUACUCAUGUUAUCCAGUUAGUAUUGUUCAUGCAUAUGAACCCAUGCAUUUAUCCUACCUAACUUAGCAUACAGUACAUUCAAAGUACUGACGCAUGAUGUUUGCGCUAUGAUAUCUUAUAUCAUAGGUUUCGAUGCAUGGGCUGUAGAGAACCCUCGGUAGACCAAAUUUUCAGUAUUCAACAUAGUGGUAGUCGUCAUAGUUCGACGACAUGAUUACUAUUUACAGUAUUUUAGUUUUUGCCUGUAGACGGAGUUAGUUGGAAACUUGUCCCAUCAACUCCACAAUUCAGACAGUUAGAGGCUUCCCAAACUAGAGUAUUUCAGAUAGUUAUUCAGAUUUUAGUUUUUGCGUUUUUGUGAUACCUCUUUCAGUAUUAUCAGUAUUAUUUAUAGAUUGAACCUUAUGUCAAGUUUCUGCCAAUUUUCGCAUAUAUAUAUAUGUUACUAUAUUAUUGUUCAGUUAUUGCGGCAUAUACCAGUCAUGGGUUAGCUUGUGGUUCCUCGGGAUUAUGAGCAUCGUGUAGCAUUCGGAGUACAGACUCGGGGUAUUACACCUAGUGGGUCCAUACAGGAGUUCCUUAUUCCUACAUGGAAAUGGGAAUAAGUGAACAUGGACUUUGUGAUGGGUUUGCCUCGUACUUGUCAUCAGCAUAAUUUGAAUUAGGUUAUUAUUGAUAGGAUGACCAAAUCCGCUCAUUUCUUGCCAGUCCAUACAUCAUAUUUAGUCGAGGACUAUGCCAAACUCUAUAUCAGAGUGUUGUUCCAGUUAUAUGGAGUACCUGUAUCCAUCAUUCCAGAUAGAGGUAUCUAGUUCAUCUCUCAUUUUUGGAAAGCCUUCCAAAAGGGUCUUGGUACCCAAAUUCACCUCAGUACAACUUUUCACCCUUAGACAGAUGGUCAAGCAAAAAGGACCAUUCAAACUAUAGAAGAUAUGUUAAGAGCAUGCAUUGUUGAUUUUAAAGGUAGUUGGGAUGACCACUUUCCUUUGAUCGAAUUCUCAUAUAAUAACAGCUAUCAUUCUAGUAUUUAGAUGGCUCCGUUUGAGGCUCUUUAUGGUAGCAGGUGUAGAUCUCCAAUUGGUUGGUUCAAGGUAGGUGAGGCCACAGUAGUUGGUCCUGACUUAGUGUUUGAUGCCUCAGAGAAAUUUUAGUUGAUCAGAGAAAAGCAUAGGGCAGCCCAGAGCUAAUAGAUUAAUAUGUACAAAUUAUUUCUGUACAAUUUUUUUUUGUUUUUUAUCACUUUUAUUAAUAUGUAGCCUGGAAAAAAUGUUGGUUGAAUUAUGGCAAUUCUUGUUGUUUUUCUGGAGGACCACACUUCCAUGGUAAUUGUCAUGAUGUUAAAGAGAGAAGGUUGUGUGCACCUACCCAAUAAUUUGAAUUGAAUAUAUGUCAGAUGUGUAGUGCUCAGGAUGGCCAUUAUAAGGGCUGACCCAACUUAUAUAUUCCCUCCCUUGAACCCCUAUUAUGAUCGGCUUAUUAUUUUUGAUGUUCGUAGGGCUAAUGGAGCUAAUGAGGCAGAACAUAAGGCACACCUCAUAGAUCGGCUGAAGCAGAUACUAGAGCUAUAGGCACAACAACUGGAAUCCACGAGGGAAGCUAUGGAUAAGAAGAGAUUUCAAGCCAAGAGCUAUAAGCUAGGGCUAACACUUUGUCUGAACAGCAGAGCAUGGUCUUAUCUAACACAAGAAGAGCCCCUGAUUGAUAAACAAAAGAAGGCACUAGCAGCAAAAAGUUGUGAUGAAGAAGACAUAGUAAGCCAAGAUUGGCUAAUAAAACUAGAACAGCAAAUCAAAUUUCAAGAAUUUCUCUGAGAUGGUCUCACAAUCAUGGAAAUCCAACUAAAUGGGGGGAGAAUUGAGCUCAUGCAAUAUAUAGAUUAAUUUGGCAUAGAUAUCCAUAACUUCAAACCCCACUUAAAUAAAAAGUUUAAGACAUAUGAUGUCCAAUCACCAUUUUUUAUGGAUACUAGCCAACCUGUGGAGAAAAUAAAAGAAUUCAAACCAUUCAACUAUCAUCUUUUUCUUGAGACUAACAUUGAGAAUGUGUAUAAAAAUGAGCAUACUGGAAUGGUACAAGUUUAGAAAGUGGGGGUAUUGGACUUUAUUCGAAUAACUUUUCUACAUUAUGUUUAAAUGAUGUCAUGUCUUUUUAGUCAUUUAAACUAGUGGAGGAGUAUGUAUAUGAGGAACAAGAAUCCUACAUUCUUCAAUUUGCACUAAAAAAGAAACAAAAGAACAUGCCUCACUCCAAAUCCAAGUGGUUCUACUGGCACCAUCUAAUACUUGGUUCCUUCAUCUUUCUACCAUCACCCUAUGAGAGAAUCAAAGAGAUGGAUGUGAUGUUGGGGGUGAAAUUCAUAUCCUCGAGGUGGAGGAAAAUAUUAAUAGGUUGUACGGUGAUGUUAAAUCAGAUGUUUUGAGAGGCAAGCCAACGUUUAUUUAGUAGUUUGUUCUUAUUUUGUUUUUUAUUAGUGUCACCUUUGUUUUUGUGUUUAUGGCUGAGAAAAAGUCUAAUGUACCCUAAAUCUGAGCUAAGGUGCAUGAUGAAAGCAUAAAUGUGGGGUUCCUCAGCCCCUUAAUGGAAAUCUGUGAAAGUGACAUGCUACUAGCUAGGCCUAGAGGCCUUAGGGAGUAUUUCUAAUCCUUGUUAUUAAUUUUAUACUUUGGGGACAAAGUAUAAUUUUAAGUGUGGAGUGGAGAAUCUUUCGAUUUGUUUAGAGUGAAUUGUUCUAUAGGAUUUUUAUUUUUAUUUAUUUGCAAGUAUUUUGACUAAAUUUAAAAGAAUUAAAAAAAGAUUUUAUCCUUGUUUAUUUUCAACUUUGACUAGGUUGUCUGAUUAGUAGAAGCAUACUUCACCCACCCCUCAAUUUUACUUUUCGGCUCUUUUCUGAGGGGGAGCACUUUGACCCAGUAUCCUUUAAUAUAUUUAGGAGUAAUUGGAAAAUAUUUGUCAUUAGGAAUAAAUAGAGAUGCUCUAGCUAGGUUCUACCCAUGAUUAUAUGUUGCAUGUGGUGUUGAAUUCUAAGUCAUGAUGUGAAAGUUAAAUGACUUCAGUAAGAUAUUGUCACUACCCAAACCAGGGUCAGGCUGUGACGGGUAUCUCAGGUCCACCGAGAACUAGAUACGACCCCUUUUAUGCCUAGCCAAACAAACAUAACACUCCUAGUAGUAGCUGAAAUUCGAACAUAUAACAAGAUAAGAAAAGUAAUGAACUCAAAGAUAUCUAAGAGUGUCUACAUCAAUACCUAAUCCAAAGUAAUAUCCAAAAAGCCUCUACUAAGCCAAAAACAAUCAAAGCCGGGACAUGCCCCCAACCC
Molecule: long non-coding RNA, 13798 nt
Filed under: Capsicum annuum
Lineage: Eukaryota; Viridiplantae; Streptophyta; Magnoliopsida; Solanales; Solanaceae
Description: long non-coding RNA (CANN_LNC018557)
Source: RNAcentral